This is a long non-coding RNA of Ficedula albicollis (Collared flycatcher), 3218 nucleotides long. RefSeq lists it as uncharacterized. The record is from RefSeq and is a predicted model, not a curated record. NCBI's taxonomy places the organism in Eukaryota, Metazoa, Chordata, Aves, Passeriformes, Muscicapidae. The transcript is spliced from 2 exons.
CACAGUAGAAGUCUUCUGCAUAGUCCCUGCAAACGGGUAGGGCUUUACUGCCAAGUCUGGAUGCAUCUUCAUCGUUACUUUUCUGGAAGCUGAGUGAAAGGGCUCCAUGUGCACUCCCUCAUCAAUUCACUGAUCUAAUCAGCCAUGCUAAAGAACUUGGGAGCAAGAGCAAUUUGGGGUGCAGGUCACCUGAAACAGAGCUUCUGCCAGAAACCUGAGGAUAAGGUAGCUCUUGUCUAAGCUUUCACCCCAUUCAAAACGUAUUUCAUUCCAAAACAAAAAGAGAGAAGGUCUUUUUUCCCCAUAUAUUCUUUCCCCGUUUAUAAAUUGGUAUCAGCAAUCUCCAGCUGACAUUGAUCCCCAGAAACCUCCUCAUGCAGUCCGAACAUAUAUGAAAAUCAAGACCCUUUAUGGCUUACAAUCAAUCAGACUCCCUCCCUACCUUCACCCCACCAUUUCUCUCAUCCAUCCCCUAGCACUCAGAGUAGCCUUGUGCAAAUCUGAGCCUCCUCCACUCCAGGCUGUGAAGCAAAAAUCAGAGGGUUAAGAGUUUAGCUGAGGGAUAGAAGCUAUACAUAUAGUGACUGUAGUAGAAGCAAUGUAGAAAGUGGCUGAGCCAGUAGAGCUAAGACAAUAAAUCUCUUGCUUGGCUUUGUUGUGUCAAGAUGGGUGGAUGGGAUAUUAUUAAUUAAAGAAACUGUAAUUGCACCUGGGCUCUGAAGCCAGCCAGAACCAGGUUGGGAGCUUGAUCCGUGGCCAAAGGGCAUGAGAGAACCUAGCAACUAGACAAAGAUGAAAAGUUCAAGGUGAGGAAGACUCCCUGACUUCAUCAUUAGAAGACUGCUGACCCAUUUCAAACACCCACCAACCCAUUUGAAGGAAGGAAGUGCACAAGUCUAAGAGAACUUUGACCUAAUUUUAACACGAAGCGAGUCUGGGCGGGGUUAGGUAAUGCACAUGUAUAGGCAUAUUGGGUGAUUGUAUUAAUAUAUAAGACUUCUGUGUAGAAAAGAAGACAAGAGCCCUGGGUGUUUUGCACAUCCCUGUGGGAGAUUUCUCCCAGGUGUGCCCAGCAUUGUAAUAAACAUACCACUUUCUAAAAUCAAGUAGUUGGAGAGUCCUUGUUUUGACAUCAAUCGGUGAGCCAGCCAGGAGAAACGCUUUUUGGCUGCAAGAGCAGCCCGGGCUGUGGACGUCUCUGGGACCUUCCUGGAGGGACUUCGUCUCCCCGCCUGCUCAUCACAGGGACAGGCCAGACCUGUUGCUGGUCUGCAGAAAAAACGGUAUGUUUAAAAUUACUGGGGUAGUCUGUAAGGCGCGUGAGUGGCUGAAAGGCAGCUGCUAAGUCACAGAAGAUGUUCUGUGAUCUGCACAAGCCUGUGCAGUUUUGCUUUCAAGCAUCAGGAGGGUGCAGUGGCUGGCAAAAGGGUUCCUUGUGUCAUGGAACCUGUUAGCAGUUCUGGGGGUGAACUGGACAAAUCCUUGCCUAUUGCUGCUAUUUUCCUUGUUGCUAUUUCAAUCGUUAUUUUGACUUUGUUCUGACUGUGUGAGUGACUGUGUGUGUGAUUGUUGAGAUGUACUUUUGUACGACGUGACGGCGUAGCUCGGAUUUAUGUUUUCGUGUUCAGGCGACAAAAACAGCCAGAGAAAGACAAAGCGUUUGGGGUGACCAUUUAAAAGUGCUGCAUGCUGUGCUGUGUUGAAAAGAGGUGAAUACUUUGUCCCUUAAUAAAGAGACACCCUUCCCCGCAGUGAUUUUGACUUUUGGAUUCGGUUUGUGUGUGCGGAAUUCCUGUUUACGGGGGACGGCAUUCCCUCUAACACUCGGUGUAACACUCGGCUUAACCGGUCCCCUGCCCCCGCUGCUCAUUGUGUAUUUUAGAGUAAGAUUGCCAUCUAGUGACAAAAGUUAUAAUUGCAGCAAACUGGUAAUUUUGCCCCGUGUUUCCUGUGUUGUUACUCGGGCUGUGUUGGCUGCGCUGUCGCAGUUUGCUGAUGGAAGCGCCUGUUGAAGCUCGAGCCCAAGCUGAAGGAGCCCGGCCCUGUAGGCAGGCUCUGUCUAGAUGGUUUCAGCUUGAGCCGGGAGAGUUUGUGAAUACAGACGGGGACUGGACUGCUGUAGGGUGAGAGGACGGUAGAAUAGAUAGGGUAUUUUUGGGAGGAGUAUACUCGAGCCAAACUAGUUCUUAUUUGGCUUUUGACAGGGAAGUACCCCCAGCUGAGAGAGGACUUAGAAAUCCAUUGACAUGGAGACGAGCAGGAGUAAUUCCUUGGUUUGUGUGUGGGCUGACAAUCUACCACUGGGAACUGGAAUGGCAUUCAGCUUUAGUUCUUCUCCGGUGUAAGAAGAAGUGGGAGAAUAGGUGCUACUGUAUAUCUUACAGAAGGAAAGCUGUGUGCCCCAAGUGUGUACCACAGCUGCCACGGUAUUAUAACUGGGAGGCAGCGCAUGCUAAAUGUGAAGUAGUAAAUUGAGCCUGUGGCAAAGAUCAUUUGGUCCCUGAGAGGACUGGGACGUUUUUGAGGAAGGCUGGGAGAAGAUGAGCGAAUUGUGUAAGUCUGGCGUGAGAAAUGAAAGGAACUUCCUUCCUGCAGUGAUGCGUCCUUGACCCUCGGGAGCUUAAGAUAUUAGAGGGUGGUAUUUGUGGGCUGUCAGAGUUAUAGUGUGGUGGUUAGAGCGUAUUUUAAAUCAUGGCUAGAAGAAUAGAAGGGAUCCCCCUCCCUCAGUGGUUUGGACUGGAUCCUUAGGAAUUUGUGAAUCCAGUGAACUGUUGGAUAGAAAGGGAAAACAACCAGGUUCAUCUAGAAGGAAUAUACAGACCAUCAGCAGGGAGAUUGGUAGCUUUGGACUGGGAACAGCCUGCACAAGCAGGUCUGGACAAUCAAGAGAGAAGAGGAAUAGCUUGCCUUUGUGGGUGUUAUGAGGCUUUUGGGGCUUCUAGAGGUUGGCACUCGGCGUGGUUACUGUUACAGUUGUGAAAAAGUUGGUAUUUUUUCCUCUGAAAGACGUCAAGGUCUAUGCCGUCAGUGUAAAUCGAGGCAUCCUAGCCAAGCUGAUUUUGAGCCUAAGACACAAAAUUGGUGUGUGGAAAAUCACAUUCAACACCUGCAACUUGUGUGUGUGUGUGGGAGGAAGACUGGGAAAGGACUGUGGGGCUGUGGGGAGGGAGAUUUGGGUGGAAACGGGAUAAGACAAGAAGAAGGAGAUAAUGGGUACU